This 451-nucleotide ribosomal RNA is filed under the name uncultured bacterium. Its description in RNAcentral is "bacterial SSU rRNA". It matches the Rfam family "Bacterial small subunit ribosomal RNA", at positions 8 to 461 of the family's 1533-position model. The record is from RNAcentral.
AGAGUUUGAUCCUGGCUCAGAUUGAACGCUGGCGGCAUGCUUUACACAUGCAAGUCGAACGGCAGCACGGGCUUCGGCCUGGUGGCGAGUGGCGAACGGGUGAGUAAUGCGUCGGAACGCGCCGAGUAGUGGGGGAUAACGCAGCGAAAGCUGUGCUAAUACCGCAUACGUACUGAGGUAGAAAGUGGGGGACCUUCGGGCCUCACGCUAUUCGAGCGGCCGACGUCUGAUUAGCUAGUUGGUGGGGUAAAGGCUCACCAAGGCGACGAUCAGUAGCGGGUCUGAGAGGAUGAUCCGCCACACUGGGACUGAGACACGGCCCAGACUCCUACGGGAGGCAGCAGUGGGGAAUUUUGGUCAAUGGGCGCAAGCCUGAUCCAGCCAUGCCGCGUGUCUGAAGAAGGCCUUCGGGUUGUAAAGCUCUUUCAGACGGAAAGAAAUCGGGCGGGUG